GCCUGAGACUCUUUCAGCUGCUGCUUCAGCAGGGAGAUCUCGCCUGAUUUCUGGCACACCUCCCACUUGGUCUCCUCAAGCCUCGGCCCGAGCUCCCGCUGCUCCCGCUCCAAGGUGGCGCAGCGCCGCUCCAGCUGUUCGCGCUCCUGCAGCAGCUGUGCGAAGUCGUCCUGCAAUUGCCGCUUCUCCUGCUGCAGCUGGAACACCUGCAGCUGCAGCAGCUGUUGGGCCCGCUGUGCCCGCUGUGCCUGGGCCGCACAGUCCUCUCGCAGGGCCUCACGCUCUCGCUGCCAGUGCCGCUGCCGCUCCUCGUAUGCCUGGCACAUGGUAGCCUCAUUCUCGUCCAGACUGUCCCGCAGCUGCUGAAGCUCUGCCUCCCGGUCUCGGAGCUUUCCUUCCAGGACACAGUGCAGCAGGGCCUCAU
Molecule: long non-coding RNA, 424 nt
Filed under: Homo sapiens (human)
Lineage: Eukaryota; Metazoa; Chordata; Mammalia; Primates; Hominidae
Description: LNC_000562
Source: RNAcentral